Molecule: ribosomal RNA, 292 nt
Filed under: uncultured bacterium
Lineage: Bacteria
Description: partial 16S ribosomal RNA
Source: RNAcentral
GGACUACAGGGGUUUCUAAUCCUGUUUGAUCCCCACGCUUUCGUGCCUCAGCGUCAAUGUCGGUCCAGAUAGCCGCUUACGCCACUGGUGUUCCUGUCAAUAUCUACGCAUUUCACUGCUACACUGACAAUUCCGCUAUCCUCUCCCGAAUUCAAGUCCAGCAGUUUCAAAAGCGCUUCCAGGGUUGAGCCCUGGGCUUUCACUUCUGACUUGCUGAACAGCCUACGCACGCUUUACGCCCAGUGAUUCCGAAUAACGCUCGCCCCCUUCGUAUUACCGCGGCUGCUGGCAC